GUAGUCUUGGCCAUAAACGAUGUUCACUAGGUGUUGGGGGUUUCCCUCGGUGCCGCAGCUAACGCAUUAAGUGAACCGCCUGGGGACUACGGCCGCAAGGUUGAAACUCAAAGGAAUUGGCGGGGGCCCGCACAAGCGGUGGAGCAUAUGGCUUAAUUCGAUGCAACGCGAAGAACCUUACCAGGGCUUGACAUGGAGCUGCAAGCCGCCGAAAAGCGGUCGCUUUCGAAGGUGCUUCACAGGUGGUGCAUGGCUGUCGUCAGCUCGUGUUGUGAAAUGUUGGGUUAAG
RNAcentral lists this ribosomal RNA (289 nucleotides) under uncultured bacterium. RNAcentral describes it as "partial 16S ribosomal RNA". It matches the Rfam family "Bacterial small subunit ribosomal RNA", at positions 790 to 1084 of the family's 1533-position model. The record is from RNAcentral.